GACGAACGCUGGCGGCGCGCUUAACACAUGCAAGUCGAACGGAAAGGCCUGCUUUCCCUUGUGGAUUGCGGGUACUCGAGUGGCGAACGGGUGAGUAACACGUGAGUGAUCUGCCCCCAACUUGGGUAUAAGCCUGGGAAACUGGGUCUAAUUCCCGAUAGGACUGCAGGGUGGUGCCUGUGGUGGAAAACGAUUUUCUAGUGGUUGGGGAUGAGCUCGCGGCCUAUCAGCUUGUUGGUGGGGUAAUGGCCUACCAAGGCGGCGACGGGUAGCCGGCCUGGGAGGGUGGACGGCCACAUUGGGACUGGGAUACAGCCCAGACUCCUACGGGAGGCAGCAGUGGGGAAUAUUGCACAAUGGGCGGAAGCCUGAUGCAGCGACGCCGCGUGGGGGAUGACGGCCUUCGGGUUGUAAACUCCUUUCGACCGCGAGGAAGCCACCUGGUUGGAAGGGUGGUGACGGUAGUGGUAGAAGAAGCACCGGCUAACUACGUG
This 494-nucleotide ribosomal RNA is filed under the name uncultured bacterium. RNAcentral describes it as "partial 16S ribosomal RNA". It matches the Rfam family "Bacterial small subunit ribosomal RNA", at positions 28 to 507 of the family's 1533-position model. The record is from RNAcentral.